GGUGGCUCAGUGGUAGAGUGCUUGCCUUGCAAGCAGGAGGCCCUGGGUUCGAUUCCUUAGCACCA
Molecule: transfer RNA, 65 nt
Filed under: Dipodomys ordii (Ord's kangaroo rat)
Lineage: Eukaryota; Metazoa; Chordata; Mammalia; Rodentia; Heteromyidae
Rfam family: tRNA
About the family: Transfer RNA (tRNA) molecules are approximately 80 nucleotides in length. Their secondary structure includes four short double-helical elements and three loops (D, anti-codon, and T loops). Further hydrogen bonds mediate the characteristic L-shaped molecular structure. tRNAs have two regions of fundamental functional importance: the anti-codon, which is responsible for specific mRNA codon recognition, and the 3' end, to which the tRNAs corresponding amino acid is attached (by aminoacyl-tRNA synthetases). tRNAs cope with the degeneracy of the genetic code in two manners: having more than one tRNA (with a specific anti-codon) for a particular amino acid; and 'wobble' base-pairing, i.e. permitting non-standard base-pairing at the 3rd anti-codon position.
Source: Rfam by way of RNAcentral